CCUGAGAAACCCAAAAGAUCGAUCGGGGAGAUUCAUCGUCAGCGAUUCUGGCACGUGGGCGAUUCGCGAUGUUGCGGGACCUCGGUUCAGUGACACGCAUCCGCACAUGUUUAAAUUGCCAGGUGUCGUCGGCGUGCACUUCUCCCCUAGUAGAACGUCGCGACCCGUUGGGUGCCGGUCUACGGCCCGGAUGGUAGACUGUCGUGCGUCGCGCCUCGUGCCGACAUGCGGCAGACCACCGGUCGCCCGACCGGCUGCCCGGCGGUACUCGCACGGUAUCGAGCCGCAAAUAUUUGAACUGCGUCUGGCCCGCCGCAAGCGAGGUCAGUGAUUCCCGGAUGUGCGGACCUAGCGCCGUCACCGGGCCUGGCCCGCUGUUGGUCGGUGGUGUCCUUGGAGACUGGCUCAUGCAAUUAUGAUACCGGUCGGCGACGCUACUGCUUUGGU
This 447-nucleotide ribosomal RNA is filed under the name Lissonota sp. Its description in RNAcentral is "eukaryotic LSU rRNA". The record is from RNAcentral. Lineage: Eukaryota; Metazoa; Arthropoda; Insecta; Hymenoptera; Ichneumonidae.